GUAGUCAUAUGCUUGUCUCAAAGAUUAAGCCAUGCAUGUCUAAGUAUAAGCAACUUUGUACUGUGAAACUGCGAAUGGCUCAUUAAAUCAGUUAUAGUUUAUUUGAUGGUUUUUGCUACAUGGAUAACUGUGGUAAUUCUAGAGCUAAUACAUGCAAGCAAGCUCCGACCCGGCCGGUCGUUGCUCUCGGGUGGCGGCCGGAUUUGGGAAAGAGCGCGUUUAUUAGAUCAAAACCAAUCGGGCCUUUACCGGUCCGUACGUUUGGUGACUCUGGAUAACUUCGAGCUGAUCGCAUGGCCUCGUGCCGGCGACGUAUCUUUCAAGUGUGUGCCCUAUCAACUGUCGAUGGUAAGUGAUAUGCUUACCAUGGUGGCAACGGGUAACGGGGAAUA
This 392-nucleotide ribosomal RNA is filed under the name uncultured fungus. RNAcentral's name for it is "bacterial SSU rRNA". It matches the Rfam family "Eukaryotic small subunit ribosomal RNA", at positions 20 to 371 of the family's 1831-position model. The record is from RNAcentral. Lineage: Eukaryota; Fungi.